This 433-nucleotide ribosomal RNA is filed under the name uncultured bacterium. RNAcentral's name for it is "partial 16S ribosomal RNA". It matches the Rfam family "Bacterial small subunit ribosomal RNA", at positions 29 to 507 of the family's 1533-position model. The record is from RNAcentral.
AGCGAACGCUGGCGGCAGGCCUAACACAUGCAAGUCGAACGAACUCUUCGGAGUUAGUGGCGGACAGGUGAGUAACACGUGGGAACGUGCCUUUAGGUUCGGAAUAACUCAGGGAAACUUGAGCUAAUACCGGAUGUGCCCUUCGGGGGAAAGAUUUAUCGCCUUUAGAGCGGCCCGCGUCUGAUUAGCUAGUUGGUGAGGUAAAGGCUCACCAAGGCGACGAUCAGUAGCUGGUCUGAGAGGAUGAUCAGCCACAUUGGGACUGAGACACGGCCCAAACUCCUACGGGAGGCAGCAGUGGGGAAUCUUGCGCAAUGGGCGAAAGCCUGACGCGGCCAUGCCGCGUGAAUGAUGAAGGUCUUAGGAUUGUAAAAUUCUUUCACCGGGGACGAUAAUGACGGUACCCGGAGAAGAAGCCCCGGCUAACUUCGUG